CUCAGGAUGAACGCUAGCGACAGGCUAACACAUGCAAGUCGAGGGGCAGCACGGAGUAGCAAUACAACUGGUGGCGACCGGCGCACGGGUGAGUAACGCGUAUGCAACCUACCUAUCGAGAGGGGAAUAACCCGGCGAAAGUCGGACUAAUACCGCAUAAAACAGGGGCACCGCAUGGUGAUAUUUGUUAAAGAAAUUCGCUGAUAGAUGGGCAUGCGUUCCAUUAGGUAGUUGGUGAGGUAACGGCUCACCAAGCCGACGAUGGAUAGGGGAACUGAGAGGUUGGUCCCCCACACUGGUACUGAGACACGGACCAGACUCCUACGGGAGGCAGCAGUGAGGAAUAUUGGUCAAUGGGCGAGAGCCUGAACCAGCCAAGUCGCGUGAAGGGAAAAGAAGGAUCUAUGGUUCGUAAACUUCUUUUGCAGGGGAAUAAAGUGCAGGACGUGUCCUGUUUUGUAUGUACCCUGAGAAUAAGGAUCGGCUAACUCCGUGCCAGCAGCAGC
This 506-nucleotide ribosomal RNA is filed under the name uncultured bacterium. RNAcentral describes it as "bacterial SSU rRNA". It matches the Rfam family "Bacterial small subunit ribosomal RNA", at positions 23 to 518 of the family's 1533-position model. The record is from RNAcentral.